Molecule: unclassified non-coding RNA, 221 nt
Filed under: uncultured fungus
Lineage: Eukaryota; Fungi
Description: sequence contains ITS1
Source: RNAcentral
CCUGUCUAGCGCGGUGUGGAUUGUGGAGGAUGCAUUGCUGCCCCCAAUUGGGGGACCCUUUGCUUCUCUGAAAUGGAUUGGCGUUACGGCUGUGGUCACGAAACCUGUUGUCGGUAUGAUACUUGCGUCUUACCUCCUUCUAACCCGUGCCAGCCCGGCCAGACAAGACAAAUAAAAUACCAUUUGACCUCAAAUCAGGCAGGACUACCCGCUGAACUUAA